Candidatus Aminicenantes bacterium 4484_214 is the source of this 267-nucleotide non-coding RNA. Lineage: Bacteria; Candidatus Aminicenantota. The record is from Rfam.
CCGUGCUAGAUGGGGAGCUAGCGGUGCCCUGUAACCCACAACCCGCUCUAGUGGGGUUGAAUUCCCAUCCGAGGCCACUUCUUGUCUGGACUGCGUUCAGGUAAGCGGUGAUGAGGGUGGGGUCCUGCGCAAGGAAGCGCCUGUGAAACCCGUCAGGACCGGGAGGUAGCAGCGGUAGCAGGAGAGCUGCCUGUGCUGCAGAUUAGCCUUGCCUGAGCUGGCUGCCUGAAUGGCGCAGGUAAGGGCUGGUCGAAGAUGGGUGCACGG